Non-coding RNA from Caenorhabditis elegans, 21 nucleotides. NCBI's taxonomy places the organism in Eukaryota, Metazoa, Nematoda, Chromadorea, Rhabditida, Rhabditidae. The record is from Ensembl.
UCACAUCUUCACUUUUAGAGC